Molecule: ribosomal RNA, 484 nt
Filed under: uncultured bacterium
Lineage: Bacteria
Description: partial 16S ribosomal RNA
Rfam family: Bacterial small subunit ribosomal RNA
Source: RNAcentral
AUUGAACGCUGGCGGCAGGCCUAACACAUGCAAGUCGAGCGGAUGAAGGGAGCUUGCGCCUGGAUUCAGCGGCGGACGGGUGAGUAAUGCCUAGGAAUCUGCCUGGUAGUGGGGGAUAACGUCCGGAAACGGGCGCUAAUACUGCAUACGUCCUGAGGGAGAAAGUGGGGGAUGUUCGGACCUCACGCUAUCAGAUGAGCCUAGGUCGGAUUAGCUAGUUGGUGGGGUAAAGGCCUACCAAGGCGACGAUCCGUAGCUGGUCUGAGAGGAUGAUCAGUCACACUGGAACUGGGACACGGUCCAGACUCCUACGGGAGGCAGCAGUGGGGAAUAUUGGACAGUAGGCGAAAGCCUGAUCCAGCCAUGCCGCGUGUGUGAAGAAGGUCUUCGGAUUGUAAAGCACUUUAAGUUGGGAGGAAGGGCAUUAAGUUAUUACCUUGCUGUUUUGACGUUACCAACAGAAUAAGCACCGGCUAACUUCGUG